This 170-nucleotide small RNA is filed under the name Chelonoidis abingdonii (Abingdon island giant tortoise). RNAcentral describes it as "TUC338 (ENSCABG00000014318.1)". Lineage: Eukaryota; Metazoa; Chordata; Testudines; Testudinidae. The record is from RNAcentral.
UUAACAGCCAUGGAGACAGAAGUCCCCUAUUAAUCCACAGAGCAGGUGCAGCAUUAACAAUGGUGACGCAAGCUUCCCUGCACACGUAUCUGAACUCUGACCUGGAGAGACCAGCUUUAGGAGUGAAAGGAGAGCUCAGUGACCCAUGUUCACUGUAACAAUGCGGUUCU